RNAcentral lists this ribosomal RNA (520 nucleotides) under Salmonella enterica. RNAcentral describes it as "bacterial SSU rRNA". It matches the Rfam family "Bacterial small subunit ribosomal RNA", at positions 1 to 510 of the family's 1533-position model. The record is from RNAcentral. RNAcentral also lists the same sequence under 1 other name. Lineage: Bacteria; Pseudomonadati; Pseudomonadota; Gammaproteobacteria; Enterobacterales; Enterobacteriaceae.
AAAUUGAAGAGUUUGAUCAUGGCUCAGAUUGAACGCUGGCGGCAGGCCUAACACAUGCAAGUCGAACGGUAACAGGAAGCAGCUUGCUGCUUUGCUGACGAGUGGCGGACGGGUGAGUAAUGUCUGGGAAACUGCCUGAUGGAGGGGGAUAACUACUGGAAACGGUGGCUAAUACCGCAUAACGUCGCAAGACCAAAGAGGGGGACCUUCGGGCCUCUUGCCAUCAGAUGUGCCCAGAUGGGAUUAGCUUGUUGGUGAGGUAACGGCUCACCAAGGCGACGAUCCCUAGCUGGUCUGAGAGGAUGACCAGCCACACUGGAACUGAGACACGGUCCAGACUCCUACGGGAGGCAGCAGUGGGGAAUAUUGCACAAUGGGCGCAAGCCUGAUGCAGCCAUGCCGCGUGUAUGAAGAAGGCCUUCGGGUUGUAAAGUACUUUCAGCGGGGAGGAAGGUGUUGCGGUUAAUAACCGCAGCAAUUGACGUUACCCGCAGAAGAAGCACCGGCUAACUCCGUGCCA